This 476-nucleotide ribosomal RNA is filed under the name uncultured bacterium. RNAcentral describes it as "SSU rRNA". It matches the Rfam family "Bacterial small subunit ribosomal RNA", at positions 26 to 518 of the family's 1533-position model. The record is from RNAcentral.
AGGACGAACGCUGGCGGCGUGCUUAACACAUGCAAGUCGAGCGGAAAGGCCCUUCGGGGUACUCGAGCGGCGAACGGGUGAGUAACACGUGAGCAACCUGCCCUUAGCUUCGGGAUAGCUCCGGGAAACCGGAAUUAAUACCGAAUAUGACUUUGGCUGACAUCAGCAGAAGUGGAAAGUUUUUCGGCUAGGGAUGGACUCGCGGCCUAUCAGCUAGUUGGUGAGGUAACGGCCCACCAAGGCGACGACGGGUAGCCGGCCUGAGAGGGCGACCGGCCACACUGGGUUACUGAGACACGGCCCAGACUCCUACGGGAGGCAGCAGUGGGGAAUAUUGCGCAAUGGGCGAAAGCCUGACGCAGCGACGCCGCGUGGGGGAUGAAUGCCUUCGGGUUGUAAACCCCUUUCAGCAGGGACGAAGCGAAAGUGACGGUACCUGCAGAAGAAGCGCCGGCUAACUACGUGCCAGCAGCCGC